RNAcentral lists this long non-coding RNA (328 nucleotides) under Panax ginseng (ginseng). Its description in RNAcentral is "long non-coding RNA (PGIN_LNC003205)". The record is from RNAcentral. Lineage: Eukaryota; Viridiplantae; Streptophyta; Magnoliopsida; Apiales; Araliaceae.
AAAGUUGAGAAACCGUCCAUCCAUCGGAAAUAAUAUAGCUUUUGGUAGGUUCCCAUUUGUAAUAGCCAUUGUAUUAAAGUCACCUAGCAUGCUUUCUUUAGAUAAGAUCACAUUUAAGAACAUCCAGCAUCUAGGUGGUUUCUCCAUUAUGUCUGCGAAUAUAUUCUGGCAUUGAGGCUUGUCAGACACAACAAUUUCUUCUUCUAUCUUCUCCAGCUCAUCGCACCAUGGUUUCGAAGGUGUACUUGCUUUUACAUCAUAGAGAGUAUUGCCGACGACAUGACUACCAAUCGGAUAAGGUUUUGCAAAUCUAACUGGACUCUUGAAC